GACGAACGCUGGCGGCGUGCUUAACACAUGCAAGUCGAACGGAAAGGCCCUGCUUUUGUGGGGUGCUCGAGUGGCGAACGGGUGAGUAACACGUGAGUAACCUGCCCUUGACUUUGGGAUAACUUCAGGAAACUGGGGCUAAUACCGGAUAGGAGCUCCUGCUGCAUGGUGGGGGUUGGAAAGUUUCGGCGGUUGGGGAUGAACUCGCGGCUUAUCAGCUUGUUGGUGGGGUAGUGGCUUACCAAGGCUUUGACGGGUAGCCGGCCUGAGAGGGUGACCGGCCACAUUGGGACUGAGAUACGGCCCAGACUCCUACGGGAGGCAGCAGAGGGGAAUAUUGCACAAUGGGCGGAAGCCUGAUGCAGCAACGCCGCGUGCGGGAUGACGGCCUUCGGGUUGUAAACCGCUUUCGCCUGUGACGAAGCGUGAGUGACGGUAAUGGGUAAAGAAGCACCGGCUAACUACGUG
Molecule: ribosomal RNA, 468 nt
Filed under: uncultured bacterium
Lineage: Bacteria
Description: partial 16S ribosomal RNA
Rfam family: Bacterial small subunit ribosomal RNA
Source: RNAcentral